RNAcentral lists this ribosomal RNA (495 nucleotides) under Aldrovanda vesiculosa. RNAcentral describes it as "eukaryotic LSU rRNA". The stretch from base 180 to 336 matches the Rfam family "5.8S ribosomal RNA". The record is from RNAcentral. Lineage: Eukaryota; Viridiplantae; Streptophyta; Magnoliopsida; Caryophyllales; Droseraceae.
UCUUCCGCGGCACCGUCCGGUAGAGCGGAAAGGUGUGCGCCUGGCGCGGCGACUUAACAACAAUCAGGCGCGGGAUGCGCCAAGGACAAUGGAUGCUUUGACAUGCCUUUGCCCCUUCUGUCUGGUUCUUGGACCAGGGGAUAGGGGACGGCAAUGCGCUGUACGCGCGAGAUUGACACGACUCUCGGCAACGGAUAUCUCGGCUCUCGCAUCGAUGAAGGACGUAGCGAAAUGCGAUACUUGGUGUGAAUUGCAGAAUCCCGUGAACCAUCGAGUCUUUGAACGCAAGUUGCACCCGAGGCCACCAAGGCUAAGGGCACGUCUGCCUGGGUGUCACCUAGACCCUCACCAAACCCGGGUUCACUUCAGCGGAAGUGGCGGGGGGUGGUGGACGAUGGCCUCCCGUGCUCCUCGUGCGGUUGGCGGAAUCUGGAGCUGGAGCCGUUGAGCGCAGCGGCGUAUGGUGGUUGGGCGAGGAGAAAGUCCUCGAUUCGU